UGUAUGUCAUAAAAAUUAGGGUAAACUUUAAAUACCAUUUUUGUGAUUUCGUACUUUCUCACGUUAAUACCCUAUGAUUUAAAUUGUACCAAGUUAGUGUCAUGUGGUUUUAUUUUUAUCUUUUCGCUAGUUUUUUCGUUAAUAUUUCGUUAAAUUAUAUAAAAAAAAACUUCAGAUAUUCCACCUAUAGUUUAUCAAAUAUUCACUUUAGUACUCUUUAGUUUUAAUUUUGUCACUGAUUUAAUGAAAAAAAAUAGUGAAAUCGAUAAUAAAAAAAUAUAAAUAAAACCACUGGCACUAAAUUAAUACACUUUAAAUU
This 319-nucleotide long non-coding RNA is filed under the name Ananas comosus (pineapple). Its description in RNAcentral is "long non-coding RNA (ACOM_LNC040676)". The record is from RNAcentral. Lineage: Eukaryota; Viridiplantae; Streptophyta; Magnoliopsida; Poales; Bromeliaceae.